Molecule: non-coding RNA, 27 nt
Filed under: Mus musculus (house mouse)
Lineage: Eukaryota; Metazoa; Chordata; Mammalia; Rodentia; Muridae
Source: RNAcentral
UGAAGUUACCGCUCCCACAGUCCCCAC